ACAAUACAUCAACGAAAGAGAGAAAAUUUUAGAAUCAUCAAAACCAAAAUGGAGAGAGGGAGGAGGAUGGAGCUUACUCUCCUACUUUCAUGGAACAUUCCUAAUCCUCUUCGUCUUCCUUGGAGGAAGAUCAACCACCAAACUAAUUACCCACCAUCCAAUUUUCUCCUUAUUUCUAUAAUCAUCAUUAUCCCUUCUUCUCUUUCUCUCUCUUUUGAUCUCAUUCUCCUUCCCAACACGUUCUUGACCCCAUUAAUCUUCAAAGAAAUUUCAUCAUGGCUUCAAUCUUGUGACCUUUUCGACUUUCUUUCUUUUAUUAUUCCAUUUCCGUUUUCAAUCGCUUUUAUAAGAAGGCACAUGGACAUCGUCUUUUUUUUCUUUCUGGGGGGGUUUCCUGACAAAUUCUCGACUUCUACUGCCCAUUUCCCGGGUUUUUGGCUCCAAAAACAGGAGCAUAUUAUUCUUGUAAGUUAGUGGCUAAGCUAUAUUCUUGAUGCCACUCCCUAGCAGUUUUCAACCAUGAAUUCAACAUCAGAGCAGAACAACAGAGAUUAUGCUGGACUCAGCAUCUCAAACUCAGCUGUUAAUGGAAGACCCUUUGUAGAUAGGAAUGCUAAGCAGAUACUGAUUUUAGCUGAGUGGUUGAGGAGUAUUUUCCCUGGUCUAAAUUUGCCAAUCAAUGCUUCCGAUGAGGAUCUCAAAGCAUGCUUGUUGGAUGCGAAUGUGUUGUCCCAAGUUCUGAACAAGCUAAAAAAACCUGGUUCUGCGAAGGAGGGAGGUUAUGUUAUCCCCAAUUUGGCUUCACGGGCGGAGAAGAUCACGAGGUUCCUUGCCGCUAUAUCCAGCAUGGGGAUCCUAAAAUUAGACAGUGCCGACAUUGAAGAUGGAUCUAUGGACUCUGUUUACAACUGUUUAUGGUCAAUUAGAGCACGGUUUAUGUCAAAUGACGUGGGAGAUAAACCUUUGGGAUGUAACUCACCUGCUAAGUCAGAAAACAUUCGUUUCGACACAUCCUUACAUGAACCUUUUUCUCCUAUGUUGGGAGAAGAAAGGAGGAAAGUCUUAUUUGAGUCCAAAUUUCUUCGUACCCUGAGUAGUCCAAUUAUGUCAGAAUCAUUAGUAGGAUCAAAUCACCAAGUUGGUCAUAAGUUUCACGAAGUAUUUCAAUUAAAGCAAGGUCGUUAUGCUGAUAUUCCGGCUGCAAAAAUUUCAGAAAUGAUGAAAUCAAAUAGUCUCGACCAUCUCUUAUUGCAGAAUGCUCCAACACAAUCACUUUUGAGUGUGGUGAACGGAAUUCUUGAUGAAAGUCUGGAGAAAAAGAAUGGUGAAAUUCCUCAUCGUGUGGCAUGCCUGUUAAGAAAAGUAGUUCAAGAAAUUGAGCGGCGUAUUUCUACUCAAGCAGAUCAUCUUCGAACUCAAAACAAUCUUUUCAAGGCUCGUGAAGAGAAAUUCCAGUCUCGAAUAAGAGUGCUGGAGGCACUUGCGUCAAACAUUAAUGAAGAAAAUCAGCAAGCUGAGAAGACUAAAGCGGAAGAAAAGAAGAAUUCUCUAAAUGAAGACGUGAGCAGGUUGAUUAAAGAAAGAGAUGAAUGCAAAGCAGAGAUUGUACUCUUGAAGCAAGAAUUGGAAACUGCUAAGAAGACUUACGAAUUGCGUUGCUUGCAAGUGGAAAUGGAAAAAGGUGAGGAUGUGAGUAAGUUGAUGAAAGAAAGAGACGAGAGCAAAGUAGAGAUUACAAUGUUGAAGCAAGAGUUAGAAAUAGCUAAAAAAACAUAUGAAUUACGUUGUUUGCAAUUAAAAACUGAAAUAGGCGAGGAUGUGGCUAGAUUGAUUAAAGAAAGAGAUGAAAGUAGAGAAAAAAUCACAAUGUUGAAACAAGAGUUGGAAACAACUAAAGAGAUGUAUGAAUUGCGUUGCUUGCAAGUAAAAACAGAAAAGGGGGAGGAUGUGAGCAGGUUGAUUGAAGAAAGAGAAGAAAACAAAGCCGAGAUCACAAUGUUGAAGCAAGAACUGGAAACAGCUAAGAAGACGUAUGAAUUGCAUUGCUUGCAAGUGGACACAGAAAAAGGGGAGGAUAUGAGUCGGUUGAUUAAAGAAAGAGAUGAGAGCAAAGCCGAGAUCGCAAUGUUGAAGCAAGAGUUGGAAGCAGCUAAGAAGACAUAUGAAUUGCGUCGCUUGCAAGUGGAAACAAAAAAAGGUGAGGAUGUGACUAGGUUAAUUGAAGAAAGAGAUGAAAGUAGAGUGGAGAUUAUAUCCUUAAAGCAAGAGUUGGAAGCAGCUAAGAAGACAUAUGAAUUGCGUUGCUUGCAAUUAGAAACAGAAAAUGAUGAGGGUAUGACUAGGUUGAUUAAGGAACGAGAUGAAAGCAAAGUUAAAAUCGUAACAUUGAAGCAAGAGUUAGAAGAAGCUAGGAAUGCAUAUGAAUUGCGAUGCUUGCAAUUUGAAAAGGAAAAAGAUGAAGAUGUGACUAGGCUGAUUAAGGAAAGAGAUGAAAGUAAAACUGAGACUGCGGUGCUAAAGCAUGAGUUGGAAACAACUACAAAGACAUAUGAAUUACGCCGCUUGGAAGUGGAAACAGAAACAAAAUCUGCUCAAUUAAUGCUCGAGGAAAGAAUAAAAGAACUUGAGAACCUCUUGGAAGAUUCAAGUAAUGAAGUGCAAGAACUUUCAACAAGUUUUGAAUUGAAGCAAAAAAAAUGGAAUGAAAAGGCAAACAGCUACAAGCAUAUGAUAGCAUUUCAAUACAAUCUACUACAGGGUGUUAGAUGCACCUCAGAGUCUGUUAAAGAAGAGGUUCUGAGAGUGAAGAUGGACUAUGCAAACGAAGUCAACCAAUUAGGACUCAAACUCAAAUCAUUAGCACAUGCAGCUGGAAACUAUCAUGUGUUGCUUACUGAAAAUAGAAAAUUGUUCAAUGAGAUACAAGAUUUAAAAGGAAACAUCAGAGUGUAUUGUCGAAUAAGGCCGUUUUUGACUGGGCAGAAAGACAAACGGAUGACCAUAGAAUAUAUUGGUGAAAAUGGAGAAGUGGUCAUAGCAAACCCCACCAAGCCUGGGAAAGAAGGUCAUAAGUUAUUUAAGUUUAACAAGGUGUACAGCCCAGCUUCAACUCAAGGGGAGGUUUUUUCUGACAUCCAACCACUGGUACGAUCUGUACUUGAUGGAUAUAAUGUAUGCAUAUUUGCCUAUGGCCAAACUGGUUCAGGAAAGACAUAUACGAUGACUGGUCCUAAUGGUGCUACUAAGGAGAACUGGGGAGUUAAUUAUCGAGCGCUCAAUGACCUUUUCGAAAUCUCUCAAAAUAGAAAUGGUGCCAUUUCUUAUGAAGUUGGUGCGCAAAUGGUUGAAGUUUAUAAUGAACAAGUGAGGGAUCUACUUUCAAGCAAUUCCCAGAAGAAACUAGGGAUUUUGACUCAUUCCCAACCAUUUGGACUUGCGGUACCUGAUGCUACCUUGCUUCCAGUGAAUUCAACCUCAGAUGUUAUAGACCUAAUGGACACUGGACUGAAGAACAGAGCAGUUGGCGCCACUGCCAUGAACGAAAGAAGUAGUCGGUCACAUAGUAUUGUGACUAUACACGUUCGUGGGGCGGAUUUGAAGGGUGGUUCCUCAUUGCAUGGUAAUCUUCACUUGGUAGAUCUUGCUGGAAGUGAGCGGGUCGACCGUUCUGAAGUUACAGGAGAUAGACUCAAGGAAGCACAACAUAUAAACAAAUCAUUGUCCGCACUUGGAGAUGUCAUUUUUGCUCUAGCACAAAAGAGCUCUCAUGUUCCAUAUAGAAAUAGCAAGCUCACUCAAGUCCUUCAAAGCUCUCUUGGUGGUCAAGCAAAGACGGUUAUGUUCGUACAGCUUAACCCUGAUGUGAACUCAUAUUCUGAGUCCUUGAGCACACUAAAGUUUGCAGAGAGAGUUUCUGGAGUCGAGUUAGGAGCAGCUCGGAGCACUAAGGAAGGAAGGGAUGUUAGAGAGCUAAUGGACCAGGUGGCAUCUCUGAAAGAUACUAUCAGCAAAAGGGAUGAGGAGAUUGAUAGGCUACAGCUACUCAAAGACCUCAAGAACAAUGUGUACAACGGUAUCAACACCGAGAAGCGCAGCACAGCUACUAUAAACAAAGAUGUGAAUGGCGUAGUGCCAAGAGUUCAGAAGCCUUCAGGUGGGAAGAGCAUAGGUGGAGCUAUGGAGAAAGAUGGUUUAGAUCAUGACAAUGCAUCAGACCAUAGCGAUGCACAAUCGGAAGCAGACUCGCAUCACUCAAUGGAUGAUGUGAAGAACCGUAAUGAAGCUAGUCGACGACUAGACAUAGGUCAGAAUAUUAUUGAAGAUGCUGAGACAUUAGGAUUUGCAGAUCCAGAUUAUGAAGAAAGAAUAAUGGACGUUGUUGAUGAUCUUACUGUUGAAACAGAAAAUGAUGCAACUACAGAAAGUAAGAAUUCCACUCGAGCCACAAAACCAGCAGAGAGGUUGGAAAAGCCCAGAUCUACAGCUACUAUUUCUAGGACCUUGCCUAAACAUUCACAAACUGCAUCAACUACACCGCCAGGAUCCAAGGAGCUUUCAAGGGUAUCAUCUGCACCAAAAUUCAAAAGUGUUAUUAAGUAAGACGUAAAGCAUUACUCAAACAGCCUCAAGGGGUGGCCCCAAUGGGACGAGCUCGGUGUCUCUUGGUCAUUCAACUUAGUAACUCGUCUUAAAAAAACUGUAACGGGACUCAAGUCUGGUAGAAGAUGGCAGUAAUUUCGAAGGGAACUUUCCUUUCCUUUUCUUUUUCAUAUUUAUUUGCGCUUUACAGAGUUUUUCUUUCCUUUUCCGUUCUUUUCUUUUUCCCCUUCAAUUUUCAUUGAGAAAAAAAUAUAGGUUAGGAAAAUUAAUUACCAUAAAGUUCUGUAUAUAAAAGGCCUCUAUGUAUAGUCCUCAAAUUGGGACGACAAAAGUGUAUAAAUGUAAAUUUCAAAUAGAGAAAAAAUGUCCUCAGUUCGGGUUCGGAUUCGGAUGCGGAUUUGGAUCAUCGUUGCAACUCACUUGCAACUGCAUAAAGCUAGAAUCAACAACUUACAUCCCCUCAGGUUCAAGAACUCAACAAGCCUUCAUCUUUAAGAUGGAAAGGAACGGGGAAAUAGGAAUAUGGCUGACUUUAUUGGGAUUCAAGGCUCUAAUAGUUGAAUACAUGAAACACUUUAAAUCUAAUGUUUUUUUUUUCUUCCAUAAUUCCAAAUGCAACUUUAAAAGUUGCUAUAUGAUCAAAUUAUUCAUUUUAAAAAUGAUGUAUAGUUAAAUUGAAACAAUGAAUAGUUGUAGAAUGAUUGUGUAUUAGAGACAAUGUGUUUAGAAGAUUGCCUUGAUGGGGCUAACGUAUCUAUGCUACUCUAUGAAGUGUUUAUGACCAGAUACAAAUUUUAGUAACAUAAAUUCUAAUAUUUGAAGACUUUA
Molecule: RNA transcript, 5427 nt
Organism: Cucumis sativus (cucumber)
Lineage: Eukaryota; Viridiplantae; Streptophyta; Magnoliopsida; Cucurbitales; Cucurbitaceae
Gene name: kinesin-like protein KIN-14P
Exons: 22
Source: RefSeq, a predicted model, not a curated record